Molecule: long non-coding RNA, 493 nt
Organism: Polistes dominula (European paper wasp)
Lineage: Eukaryota; Metazoa; Arthropoda; Insecta; Hymenoptera; Vespidae
Source: RefSeq, a predicted model, not a curated record
UCACUGUUAUUCCUCGUUAAUACGUUUACCUUCUAUUCACUAUGUAACAUAUAUAAACGUUAUACGCAUGAUUGACCCGUUGUAUAUCAGUGAAAUUCCAUUUCUCAUGGGUAUAAGCAACAGUAACGUGAAAUUCUUCGAGGAAAAGACACGAAGGAAAAUCGAAUCGAUCGAUGAAAGAAACCCUAAUGCAACCCUGACGCAACCCUGACGGUUGCUGUGUGCAAACAACAAGGUUGUUGUCUGCGAACAACAAGAUUGCUCUUUAUUGGCGCAUUAACGGAAUUUUUGUUGCGGUGCCAUGGCGUUAAUACAAACGUUCGAUGGAGGCUAACACGGUGCUUGCCCAGAGCGAAGAGAGAAACAUGGAUGAUAGGUCGGGAUAGUCCUCGUUGUUUCCGGUGUUGAAAAUCUUUUAUCAAUGGACAAAAAAAAAUGGAGGUCACGGUGUUAUGAUUCACCCUAUACACAAUGGGUCGAAAUGUGUCAAAAA